Molecule: transfer RNA, 76 nt
Filed under: bacterium
Lineage: Bacteria
Description: tRNA-Thr
Rfam family: tRNA
About the family: Transfer RNA (tRNA) molecules are approximately 80 nucleotides in length. Their secondary structure includes four short double-helical elements and three loops (D, anti-codon, and T loops).
Source: RNAcentral
GCCGCCUUAGCUCAGUUGGUAGAGCAACACUUUUGUAAAGUGAAGGUCGUCGGUUCGAAUCCGUCAGGUGGCUCCA